UUUAAGUUCACUGGAGGUUGCCU
This 23-nucleotide non-coding RNA is filed under the name Rattus norvegicus (Norway rat). Lineage: Eukaryota; Metazoa; Chordata; Mammalia; Rodentia; Muridae. The record is from RNAcentral.